Molecule: small nuclear RNA, 103 nt
Organism: Tupaia belangeri (northern tree shrew)
Lineage: Eukaryota; Metazoa; Chordata; Mammalia; Scandentia; Tupaiidae
Source: Ensembl
AUGCUCACUUUGACAGCAUUUAUACUAAAAUUGGAACAAUACAGAGAUUAACAUGCCCCUGUGCAAGGAUGUUAUGCAAAUUCAUGAAGCGUUCUAUAUUUUU